Long non-coding RNA from Papilio polytes (common Mormon), 1484 nucleotides. RefSeq lists it as uncharacterized. Lineage: Eukaryota; Metazoa; Arthropoda; Insecta; Lepidoptera; Papilionidae. The record is from RefSeq and is a predicted model, not a curated record. The transcript is spliced from 2 exons.
CGCCCGAUGAUACCCAAACGAGUUGAGACUUAAGGAAAAUAACAUAAAAUUAUAUAAACAGCUAAGUUUAUUUGCUGGCUAAUUAAUAACUAACAGUCAUGCAACGAUGUAAACAGGACGUAGAAGAAGGUAUUUCUGGUGGUCGCAGGCGGCUAUAGACAACGCUCACUUGCAUUAGAUGACAAAGGACAAAGUGCACCGCGCGAUGCACGCAAUUGACAACAGAUUACAUGGUGUAGGUUUAAAUUUAAUGAAAGAUUGAAAAGGUUUUCUUAGGUCCCCUAAGAAGUUUUAUUUUUAUUGCUUUUAGCAGUGUAUAGUGCCACACCAAGCCACGCCGCUACUUCAGUCAGACAGGAAUACACGUUCCGCUGUAAGCUGACUGGUGCUGAGGCGACCUGCCGCUCGCCGCUUAUAAAAUACAUAUAUUAUGCAGGUGUGAUCUAUACAUACGCAACAUUAUAAAUUGUAAAAUGCGAGGACGUGAGCUAUAUCUGCGCCAUAAGUUUUAAAAUUAUUCAUGUGUUUUUUCUUUCAAUUUUUUAACAAAAUUACAUUUAUUUUAAUGCAAAUUAAAAUUGACCAUUAUUUAUUAUUUCAGCAGUUUUUGUACAUGUUUGCUUUUUGGCGGCAACUGACCUCUAACCGACCAGCUAUCGAAGUUAAGCCUGUUACAUACACUCAAUUUUAACAAUUUUAACUGAAAAAUCGAGACGAGCGUAUUUAGUUAGUUUUUUUUAGUAGUUUCUUUUCUUAGAGACAGUAGUCUUUAGUCUAAACUAUCGAAAUAUACAGACGAAGGUCAGAGCCGAGGCUUACAAAAAAAAGGUACACAGCAAUAGUGUGAAUAGAAUUGCUUCUGUCUGUGUGGGUGGUGCGGGGGUUUCCAAUAGGCCGGAGUGCUAACAUCAGCACUCCGUCCUAUUGGAAAGCUGCGGGCGCGCGUGGCGUGACGGCGGCGUGACGGCGGCGAGACGGCAGCGCGAAUGCGAGUGCGGCGGCCGAGCACGCGUGACGCCGCCGCGUCGUGACGGCUGUGCGAGGCACGCGCAUCAUUAACGACUUUACAUUCUUUUAAAGUUAUAAAGUAUUCUAAAGUAAAUAUGAUUUCAUGAACCGUAAAUUUACGAGUUAUUUAUGAAAGUAAUAUUGAAGUCAAUAUAACUUUAAAACAUAACAAUAUGUUGUAGCACAAUCAGGAAAUUGCUAAAUGACACAAUGAUAUUGAGAACCUUCUUGUUGAAGUUGGUUGAAAAGAUUGGACCACAUCUUAAGAUGUACAAAAUUACCAGAACUAUGGAAAAGCAGUUACAGCAAGGAUGAAAACCAGCGCAAACCCUCUGCCCUUUAAUCAAGAACUUUUUUUAAUUGAUAUCUUUUUGUGAUUUUUUUUGUUGUUUUUUUUGUUAUUACUGCCAUGCCACGAUUGAAUCCUAGCUUUGUAACUAUCACUGUAAAGUUAUGUUUAAAGAGAAUGGAAAAUA